This 394-nucleotide ribosomal RNA is filed under the name Nemobiinae sp. Com. RNAcentral describes it as "partial 12S ribosomal RNA". Lineage: Eukaryota; Metazoa; Arthropoda; Insecta; Orthoptera; Trigonidiidae. The record is from RNAcentral.
UAUUAUUUUUAAGGAAAAAUCUUUAAGUUUAGGUAGUAUUGAAUAUAUUUUGAAACCUAAAGAAUUUGGCGGUGUUUUAAUCUAUUCAGAGGAAUCUGUUCUGUAAUUGAAAGUACACGAGGAUAAAUACUUGAUUUAGAAAGUUUGUAUACCGCCGUCGUAGGAAUAUAUUAAGGAGAGUUAAAAAUUUCUAGAUAAAAAAUUAAUUAUUAUGUCAGGUCAAGGUGCAGCUUAUAGUUAAGAAGAAAUGGAUUACAAUAAAAUAAAUUAAUUAUAACGGAAUUGAAUUUAGAAUGAAAUGAAGGUGGAUUUGAUAGUAAAUUUAAUUUUCUGAUUAAGUUGAUUAAGGCUCUAAAACAUGCACACAUCGCCCGUCACUCUCAUGAUAAAUGAG